RNAcentral lists this ribosomal RNA (482 nucleotides) under uncultured bacterium. RNAcentral describes it as "partial 16S ribosomal RNA". It matches the Rfam family "Bacterial small subunit ribosomal RNA", at positions 30 to 507 of the family's 1533-position model. The record is from RNAcentral.
AUUGAACGCUGGCGGCAUGCCUUACACAUGCAAGUCGAACGGUAACAGGUCUUCGGAUGCUGACGAGUGGCGAACGGGUGCGUAAUACAUCGGAACGUGCCCGAUCGUGGGGGAUAACGAGGCGAAAGCUUUGCUAAUACCGCAUACGAUCUACGGAUGAAAGCGGGGGAUCUUCGGACCUCGCGCGGACGGAGCGGCCGAUGGCAGAUUAGGUAGUUGGUGGGAUAAAAGCUUACCAAGCCGACGAUCUGUAGCUGGUCUGAGAGGAUGAUCAGCCACACUGGGACUGAGACACGGCCCAGACUCCUACGGGAGGCAGCAGUGGGGAAUUUUGGACAAUGGGCGAAAGCCUGAUCCAGCCAUGCCGCGUGCAGGAUGAAGGCCUUUGGGUUGUAAACUGCUUUUGUACGGAACGAAAAGCCUCUUUCUAAUAAAGAGGGGUCAUGACGGUACCGUAAGAAUAAACACCGGCUAACUACGUG